This 75-nucleotide transfer RNA is filed under the name Candidatus Nomurabacteria bacterium. RNAcentral's name for it is "tRNA-Glu". It matches the Rfam family "tRNA". Rfam says of the family: Transfer RNA (tRNA) molecules are approximately 80 nucleotides in length. Their secondary structure includes four short double-helical elements and three loops (D, anti-codon, and T loops). RNAcentral also lists the same sequence under 1 other name. Lineage: Bacteria; Candidatus Nomuraibacteriota. The record is from RNAcentral.
GGCCCCAUCGUCUAACGGUUAGGACAUCAGAUUCUCAAUCUGGCAAUCCGGGUUCGAUUCCCGGUGGGGUCACCA